RNAcentral lists this ribosomal RNA (539 nucleotides) under uncultured archaeon. Its description in RNAcentral is "bacterial SSU rRNA". It matches the Rfam family "Archaeal small subunit ribosomal RNA", at positions 457 to 997 of the family's 1478-position model. The record is from RNAcentral.
GGCAGCAGCCGCGGGAACACCGGCAGCUCUAGUGGUAGCAGCUUUAUGGGCCUAAAGCGUCCGUAGCCGGUUUAAUAAGUCUCUGGUGAAAUCCUGUAGCUUAACUGUGGGAAUUGCUGGAGAUACUAUUAGACUUGAGACCGGGAGAGGUUAGAGGUACUCCCAGGGUAGAGGUGAAAUUCUGUAAUCCUGGGAGGACCGCCUGUUGCGAAGGCGUCUAACUGGAACGGUUCUGACGGUGAGGGACGAAAGUUAGGGGCGCGAACCGGAUUAGAUACCCGGGUAGUCCUAACUAUAAACGAUGCGGACUUGGUGUUGGGGUGGCUUUGAGCUGCUCCAGUGCCGAAGGGAAGCUGUUAAGUCCGCCGCCUGGGAAGUACGGUCGCAAGACUGAAACUUAAGGAAUUGGCGGGGGAGCACCACAACGCGUGGAGCCUGCCGGUUUAAUUGGAUUCAACGCCGGACAUCUCACCAGAGGCGACAGCUGUAUGAUAGCCAGGUUGAUGACUUUGCUUGACUAGCUGAGGAGUGGUGCAUGG